UACGUAGGUCCCGAGCGUUGUCCGGAUUUAUUGGGCGUAAAGCGAGCGCAGGUGGUUUAUUAAGUCUGGUGUAAAAGGCAGUGGCUCAACCAUUGUAUGCAUUGGAAACUGGUAGACUUGAGUGCAGGAGAGGGGAGUGGAAUUCCAUGUGUAGCGGUGAAAUGCGUAGAUAUAUGGAGGAACACCGGUGGCGAGAGCGGCUCUCUGGCCUGUAACUGACACUGAGGCUCGAAAGCGUGGGGAGCAAACAGG
This 252-nucleotide ribosomal RNA is filed under the name uncultured bacterium. Its description in RNAcentral is "partial 16S ribosomal RNA". It matches the Rfam family "Bacterial small subunit ribosomal RNA", at positions 524 to 776 of the family's 1533-position model. The record is from RNAcentral.